AAACUGAAGAGUUUGAUCAUGGCUCAGAUUGAACGCUGGCGGUAUGCUUAACACAUGCAAGUCGAACGGUAGGUACUUCGGUACUGAGAGUGGCGGACGGGUGAGUAACGCGUAGGAAUCUGCCCUGUAGUGGGGGACAACGUGGGGAAACUCACGCUAAUACCGCAUACGCCCUAAGGGGGAAAGCGGGGGAUCUUCGGACCUCGCGCUAGAGGAUGAGCCUGCGUGGGAUUAGCUAGUUGGUAGGGUAAAGGCCUACCAAGGCGACGAUCCCUAGCUGGUCUGAGAGGACGAUCAGCCACACUGGGACUGAGACACGGCCCAGACUCCUACGGGAGGCAGCAGUGGGGAAUAUUGGACAAUGGGCGCAAGCCUGAUCCAGCAAUACCGCGUGU
RNAcentral lists this ribosomal RNA (395 nucleotides) under Methylococcales bacterium. RNAcentral's name for it is "bacterial SSU rRNA". It matches the Rfam family "Bacterial small subunit ribosomal RNA", at positions 1 to 404 of the family's 1533-position model. Lineage: Bacteria; Pseudomonadati; Pseudomonadota; Gammaproteobacteria; Methylococcales. The record is from RNAcentral.